This 253-nucleotide ribosomal RNA is filed under the name uncultured bacterium. RNAcentral's name for it is "partial 16S ribosomal RNA". It matches the Rfam family "Bacterial small subunit ribosomal RNA", at positions 524 to 776 of the family's 1533-position model. The record is from RNAcentral.
UACGGAGGGGGCUAGCGUUGUUCGGAAUUACUGGGCGUAAAGCGUACGUAGGCGGCUUUGUAAGUUAGAGGUGAAAGCCCAGAGCUCAACUCUGGAAUUGCCUUUAAGACUGCAUCGCUUGAAUCGUGGAGAGGUUAGUGGAAUUCCGAGUGUAGAGGUGAAAUUCGUAGAUAUUCGGAAGAACACCAGUGGCGAAGGCGACUUACUGGACACAUAUUGACGCUGAGGUGCGAAAGCGUGGGGAGCAAACAGG